AGAGAAAGACGACUAGAGGCAAGUUUUAAGGAUACGAGAUGCGUUUAUUCUCACAGCUGUUAAUUAUAAAAAAGAUACCAAGUAAAAAAAGUAGAGUCUCAUAGCUCAGCUGGUUAGAGCGCUACACUGAUAAUGUAGAGGUCGGCAGUUCGAGUCUGCCUGAGACUACUAAUUUUUUUUAUUUAUUGGAAAUUUUGGAAGUUGAGUUAUCACGUUAAGGUGAGCCGUUUUUGAAGCUGUUAACUUAUAACUGUUAGCUGUUAACUAUAAAAAGACGGGGAAUUAGCUCAGCUGGCUAGAGCGCCUGCCUUGCACGCAGGAGGUCAUCGGUUCGACUCCGAUAUUCUCCACAGAUAAAGCCUUAAUAUUAAGGUUUUUCAAAAUGAGAUUUUGAGGUUGGCACGUAAGCGCACUCCGAAAAAGUUCAUAUUGACAACGUUCAUUGACAUAUUGAAAAAAGAUACAUGAAAUUAGAUAGAAAUAUUUAAUAAAAGUAAUAAUUAUUGUAACGAGCAAUAAUUUGUAUUAAAGUAUUAAUUAUGAAAUUUUCAUAUUAAUUUUUUAAUAUAUAGUAACUCAUUAAAAAGACGAAAAGUAC
This 598-nucleotide unclassified non-coding RNA is filed under the name uncultured Flavobacteriaceae bacterium. Its description in RNAcentral is "16S-23S ribosomal RNA intergenic spacer". The stretch from base 95 to 168 matches the Rfam family "tRNA". The record is from RNAcentral. Lineage: Bacteria; Pseudomonadati; Bacteroidota; Flavobacteriia; Flavobacteriales; Flavobacteriaceae.